This 382-nucleotide ribosomal RNA is filed under the name uncultured bacterium. Its description in RNAcentral is "bacterial SSU rRNA". It matches the Rfam family "Bacterial small subunit ribosomal RNA", at positions 29 to 403 of the family's 1533-position model. The record is from RNAcentral.
AUUGGACGCUGGCGGCAUGCCUUACACAUGCAAGUCGAACGGCAGCACGGGGGCAACCCUGGUGGCGAGUGGCGAACGGGUGAGUAAUGCAUCGGAACGUGUCCUCUUGUGGGGGAUAACCAGUCGAAAGAUUGGCUAAUACCGCAUGAGAUCGAGAGAUGAAAGCGGGGGACCCGAGGGUAACUUCGGGCCUCGCGCGAGAGGAGCGGCCGAUGCCGGAUUAGCUAGUUGGUGGGGUAAGAGCCUACCAAGGCGACGAUCCGUAGCUGGUCUGAGAGGACGACCAGCCACACUGGGACUGAGACACGGCCCAGACUCCUACGGGAGGCAGCAGUGGGAAUUUUGGACAAUGGGCGCAAGCCUGAUCCAGCCAUGCCGCGUG